This 232-nucleotide ribosomal RNA is filed under the name uncultured bacterium. Its description in RNAcentral is "partial 16S ribosomal RNA". It matches the Rfam family "Bacterial small subunit ribosomal RNA", at positions 99 to 334 of the family's 1533-position model. The record is from RNAcentral.
CGGACGGGUGAGUAAUGUCUGGGAAACUGCCCGAUGGAGGGGGAUAACUACUGGAAACGGUAGCUAAUACCGCAUAACGUCGCAAGACCAAAGAGGGGGACCUUCGGGCCUCGCGCCAUCAGAUGAACCCAUAUGGGAUUAGCUAGUAGGUGAGGUAAUGGCUUACCUAGGCGACGAUCCCUAGCUGGUCUGAGAGGAUGACCAGCCACACUGGAACUGAGACACGGUCCAG